RNAcentral lists this ribosomal RNA (488 nucleotides) under uncultured bacterium. RNAcentral describes it as "partial 16S ribosomal RNA". It matches the Rfam family "Bacterial small subunit ribosomal RNA", at positions 29 to 523 of the family's 1533-position model. The record is from RNAcentral.
AACGAACGCUGGCGGCAGGCCUAACACAUGCAAGUCGAACGCCGUAGCAAUACGGAGUGGCAGACGGGUGAGUAAUGCCUAGGAAUCUGCCUGUUAGUGGGGGAUAACGCGGGGAAACUCGCGCUAAUACCGCAUACGUCCUACGGGAGAAAGCGGGGGCUCUUCGGACCUCGCGCUAACAGAUGAGCCUAGGUCGGAUUAGCUAGUUGGUGGGGUAAUGGCCCACCAAGGCGACGAUCCGUAACUGGUCUGAGAGGAUGAUCAGUCACACUGGAACUGAGACACGGUCCAGACUCCUACGGGAGGCAGCAGUGGGGAAUAUUGGACAAUGGGCGAAAGCCUGAUCCAGCCAUGCCGCGUGUGUGAAGAAGGUCUUCGGAUUGUAAAGCACUUUAAGUCGGGAGGAAGGGCUGUAGGCUAAUACCUUGCAGUUUUGACGUUACCGACAGAAUAAGCACCGGCUAACUUCGUGCCAGCCGCCGCCGUAA